RNAcentral lists this long non-coding RNA (422 nucleotides) under Capsella rubella. Its description in RNAcentral is "long non-coding RNA (CRUB_LNC004225)". Lineage: Eukaryota; Viridiplantae; Streptophyta; Magnoliopsida; Brassicales; Brassicaceae. The record is from RNAcentral.
UCCAGUUGAUCUAACGUUGUCUCUACUUUUAUCAGGACUUAAUUGGACUUAGUCUCUUACCUUGGGAGUUGGAAUACAUUGGACUAGACUUCUUCUUCGAGCCGCACAAGACACUGCACUUCUUCAAAGUAUGAUUCCUUCCUUCUCUCUUCCCUUCAGCCUUUAAAAGAAACUGUGGAAAAGGCUAUAGGUAGAAGUGAUAUGAGGGAUGUUGCGUAAACCCGUGCAUACUUCGGAUCUCAUGGAUACCCGAAAAAAAAAAAAAGACAGUUCAUAAAAAAAAACAGAAAGAAAGAAAAAAGAAGAAGAAAAAGGAAUCGUUGAAAAAAUAAAAUGAUACCCUAGAAAAGUAGGGAGAUAUCGAUUACCUUAGAUGUGAGAAAAGGGAGAAGAAGUGAAAUCAUACGAAAAAUGUCUUGGUU